CGCACAUUGCGCCCCCUGGCAUUCCGGAGGGCAUGCCCGUUCGAGCGUCAUUGCACCAAUCAAGCCCGGCUUGGUGUUGGGGCCCCGGGGGCGACCCGGCCCCCAAGUUCGCCGGCGGGAGCGUCCCGAUCGCAGCGGUAUGGCAAUCCAAUUCGCUGGGGAGAGGGGCGGUCCUCGCCGUUAAACGUCCAUCACAGGUUGACCUCGGAUCGGGUAGGGAUACCCGCUGAACUUAA
Molecule: unclassified non-coding RNA, 236 nt
Filed under: fungal sp.
Lineage: Eukaryota; Fungi
Description: partial contains 5.8S ribosomal RNA, internal transcribed spacer 2, and large subunit ribosomal RNA
Source: RNAcentral